Actinia tenebrosa (Australian red waratah sea anemone) is the source of this 354-nucleotide long non-coding RNA. RefSeq lists it as uncharacterized. Lineage: Eukaryota; Metazoa; Cnidaria; Anthozoa; Actiniaria; Actiniidae. The record is from RefSeq and is a predicted model, not a curated record.
GUGAAAUCCAAGCUAUAGGGUCACGAGGCAAAGAAAAGAGAAUGGUUUUGUUGAAGUUUUGCUUUAGUGAACGCUAAGGCUGAAAUCAGAAAUGUGUUUAACGGCUGAACAAACCCUUAAUUUGCGUUGCUGUAAAGAAAAUUUGAAGCCCUUGAAAGAUUGGUGCUGGUUAAUAGUAGAAGCAAUGUCAACGUCUUCUUUGGGAGUUGUGCGUUUCCAUAGAGGUGCAGGCAAGCUGUCUUAUUUGUGAAGCUUGGUUCUGAAUGGGAUUGAUUCAACUGUUUGGUCUGUUCUAUUCGUAUCUACACGUUGUGUUUUGUACCCGUUAGGCAAAUAAAUACAUCUUUCAGCUGA